CCUACGGGAGGCAGCAGUGGGGAAUAUUGCACAAUGGGGGAAACCCUGAUGCAGCGACGCCGCGUGAGUGAAGAAGUAUUUCGGUACGUAAAGCUCUAUCAGCAGGGAAGAAAAUGACGGUACCUGACUAAGAAGCCCCGGCUAACUACGUGCCAGCAGCCGCGGUAAUACGUAGGGGGCAAGCGUUAUCCGGAUUUACUGGGUGUAAAGGGAGCGUAGACGGCAGCGCAAGUCUGGAGUGAAAUCCCAUGGCUUAACCAUGGAACUGCUUUGGAAACUGUGCAGCUAGAGUGCAGGAGAGGUAAGCGGAAUUCCUAGUGUAGCGGUGAAAUGCGUAGAUAUUAGGAGGAACACCAGUGGCGAAGGCGGCUUACUGGACUGUAACUGACGUUGAGGCUUGAAAGCGUGGGGAGCAAACAGGAUUAGAUACCCCAGUAGUC
Molecule: ribosomal RNA, 440 nt
Filed under: uncultured bacterium
Lineage: Bacteria
Description: partial 16S ribosomal RNA
Rfam family: Bacterial small subunit ribosomal RNA
Source: RNAcentral